UUUGAUGAUGAUGAUAAGAGAAAUUUUAAAUAAGACCGUGAAUGUGGAUAUUCAUUAUUAGAUUAGUAAACUCCACGGACACAAGCAUCUUAAUCAAACCAACAUUUUUGGAAUCUUCUCCUCAACCCAGCUGAAGA
Molecule: unclassified non-coding RNA, 137 nt
Filed under: Arabidopsis thaliana (thale cress)
Lineage: Eukaryota; Viridiplantae; Streptophyta; Magnoliopsida; Brassicales; Brassicaceae
Description: small nucleolar RNA R56
Source: RNAcentral